ACUGAUUAAAGUAUGAAACUGUGGAUUAUAGGAAAAGAAAAGCUACUAAAAUGAGCACAUAACAAUAGUCAAAGCAAGCCGGAUCAACACAUUUGAUGCCAACCUCUCUACCAUGAAUGAAACAAAUUAUUACCAAGACUUGUUAGUUUGCUAGUUUAUGUUUGCCCAAGUCCUCAAAUCCUAGGAUAUUCCUGAAAAACAAA
RNAcentral lists this long non-coding RNA (203 nucleotides) under Erythranthe guttata (spotted monkey flower). Its description in RNAcentral is "long non-coding RNA (EGUT_LNC001496)". Lineage: Eukaryota; Viridiplantae; Streptophyta; Magnoliopsida; Lamiales; Phrymaceae. The record is from RNAcentral.